This 515-nucleotide ribosomal RNA is filed under the name uncultured bacterium. RNAcentral describes it as "partial 16S ribosomal RNA". It matches the Rfam family "Bacterial small subunit ribosomal RNA", at positions 28 to 523 of the family's 1533-position model. The record is from RNAcentral.
GAUGAACGCUGGCGGCGUGCCUAAUACAUGCAAGUCGAGCGAAUGGAUUGAGAGCUUGCUCUUAUGAAGUUAGCGGCGGACGGGUGAGUAACACGUGGGUAACCUGCCCAUAAGACUGGGAUAACUCCGGGAAACCGGGGCUAAUACCGGAUAACAUUUUGAACCGCAUGGUUCGAAAUUGAAAGGCGGCUUCGGCUGUCACUUAUGGAUGGACCCGCGUCGCAUUAGCUAGUUGGCGAGGUAACGGCUCACCAAGGCAACGAUGCGUAGCCGACCUGAGAGGGUGAUCGGCCACACUGGGACUGAGACACGGCCCAGACUCCUACGGGAGGCAGCAGUAGGGAAUCUUCCGCAAUGGACGAAAGUCUGACGGAGCGACGCCGCGUGAGUGAUGAAGGCUUUCGGGUUGUAAAACUCUGUUGUUAGGGAAGAACAAGUGCUAGUUGAAUAAGCUGGCACCUUGACGGUACCUAACCAGAAAGCCACGGCUAACUACGUGCCAGCCGCCGCGGUAA